ACUCCUACGGGAGGCAGCAGUGGGGAAUAUUGGACAAUGGGCGCAAGCCUGAUCCAGCCAUGCCGCGUGAGUGAUGAAGGCCCUAGGGUUGUAAAGCUCUUUUGUGCGGGAAGAUAAUGACGGUACCGCAAGAAUAAGCCCCGGCUAACUUCGUGCCAGCAGCCGCGGUAAUACGAAGGGGGCUAGCGUUGCUCGGAAUCACUGGGCGUAAAGGGUGCGUAGGCGGGUCUUUAAGUCAGGGGUGAAAUCCUGGAGCUCAACUCCAGAACUGCCUUUGAUACUGAAGAUCUUGAGUUCGGGAGAGGUGAGUGGAACUGCGAGUGUAGAGGUGAAAUUCGUAGAUAUUCGCAAGAACACCAGUGGCGAAGGCGGCUCACUGGCCCGAUACUGACGCUGAGGCACGAAAGCGUGGGGAGCAAACAGGAUUAGAUACCCUGGUAGGAUAGCG
This 448-nucleotide ribosomal RNA is filed under the name uncultured bacterium. RNAcentral describes it as "bacterial SSU rRNA". It matches the Rfam family "Bacterial small subunit ribosomal RNA", at positions 335 to 799 of the family's 1533-position model. The record is from RNAcentral.